This 1218-nucleotide long non-coding RNA is filed under the name Oncorhynchus mykiss (rainbow trout). Its description in RNAcentral is "lncRNA (ENSOMYG00000071184.1)". Lineage: Eukaryota; Metazoa; Chordata; Actinopteri; Salmoniformes; Salmonidae. The record is from RNAcentral.
AUGGUUGGGUCUGGUUUUGGGGAAGUUUGUACUUUAGGGGCGACUGCUGGUUCUGGUUUUGGGGAAGUUUCCUCUAUAGUGGUGACUGCUAGUUCUAGUUUUGGGGCAGUUUCUUCUUUAGCGGUGACAGCUAGUUCUGGUGGUGGGGAAGUUUCUAAUUUAAGGGUGAAUGCUGGUUCUGGUUUUGGGGAAGUUUCUUCUUUAGGGGUGACUGCUGGUUCUGGUUUGCGGGAAUUUUCUACUUUAGGUGUGACAACUGGCUCCUGUUGUGGGGAUGUCUCCUCUUUAGGGGUGACAGUAGGGUACGGUUUAGGAGAUGUCUCCUCUUUAAGGGUGACAGUUGGCUCCUGUUGUGGGGAUGUCUCCUCUUUAAGGGUGACAGUUGGCUCUGGUUGCGGGGCUGUUUCUUCUUUAGGGGCGACAGUGGCGUCCGGUUUAGGGGAUGUUUCUUCUUUAGGGGUUACGGUUGGCUCCUGUUGUGGGGAUGACUCCUCUUUAGGGGUGACAGUUUGGUCCGGUUUUGGGGAUGUUUCGUCUUUAGGGGUGACAGUGGGUUCCGGUUUAGGGGAUGUCACCUCUUUAGUGGUGAAUGCUAGUUCUGGUUUUGGGGACGUUUCUUCUUUAGUGGUGACUGCUGGUUCUGUUUUUGGGGAAGUUUCUUCUUUAGUGGUGACUGCUAGUUCUGGUUUUGGGGACGUUUCUUCUUUUGCAGUGACUGCUGGUUCUGGUUUAAUGGAAGUUUCUUCUUUAGGGGUGACAGUUGGCUCUGAAUACAGGCUUGUUUCUUCUUUAGGAGUCACAGUGGGGUUGGGUUUAGGGGAUGUCUCCGAUUCUUUCCCCUUGUCCUCACUCAUUGAGACAUCUUUUGUGACCUUUUCUCUGCCAUUAUGUUCCUUCUGCACAAAACUUUUUACACUAUCAUCCUUGCUGCUCACUUUUUGCUCUGUCGGACCCACCUCCUUUUUAGGAGUCUUUUGCAAAGGCUCUUCCUUACACUCACUUGUUGUGCUGAGAAUUCUGUCUGGCAUUUUACCUCCUACUGUUCUCUCAUCUUGUGUCGUUUUUACACCAGAAUCAUCAGGUGACUUCACCUGCUCCACUGUCUCCUUGGUUGAACUGGUGUUGAGCUCUGCAGUGUUAUCAGAGGAUUCCAUGUCCUUCUCUGUGGGCUCAGGGAGAUCCUCUUCUUGUGUUGUCACAGCACUCUCUGCCUCUUGA